RNAcentral lists this ribosomal RNA (440 nucleotides) under uncultured bacterium. RNAcentral describes it as "partial 16S ribosomal RNA". It matches the Rfam family "Bacterial small subunit ribosomal RNA", at positions 338 to 795 of the family's 1533-position model. The record is from RNAcentral.
CCUACGGGUGGCAGCAGUGGGGAAUAUUGCACAAUGGGGGAAACCCUGAUGCAGCGACGCCGCGUGAGUGAAGAAGUAAUUCGUUACGUAAAGCUCUAUCAGCAGGGAAGAAAAUGACGGUACCCGAGUAAGAAGGCCCGACUAACUGCGGUCCAGCAGCCGCGGUACUACGCAGGGGGCAAGCGUUAUCCGGAUUUAUCGGGUGUAAGGGGAGCGUAGUCGGUGGGCCAAGUGUGGAGUGAAAUGGCGAAGCUUAACUGCGGAACUGCUUUGGAAACUGGCGAACUAGAGAGCGGUAGGGGUAAGCGGAAUGCCUGGUGUAGCGGUGAAAGGCGUAGAUAGUAGGAGGAACACCGAUGGCGAAGGUAGCUUACUGGACCGUAACUGACGUUGAGGCUCGAAAGCGUGGGGAGCAAACAGGAUUAGAUACCCGGGUAGUC